CCUACGGGAGGCAGCAGUGAGGAAUAUUGGUCAAUGGCCGGAAGGCUGAACCAGCCAUGCCGCGUGAAGGUCAGUGCCCUAUGGGCGUUAAACUUCUUUUGUGCGGGAGCAAUAAUGGUCACGUGUGGCCAGACGAGAGUACCGUACGAAUAAACAUCGGCUAACUCCGUGCCAGCAGCCGCGGUAAUACGGGGGAUGCAAGCGUUAUCCGGAUUUAUUGGGUUUAAAGGGUGCGUAGGCUGUGAGGUAAGUCAGCGGUGAAAUGCCCCCGCUCAACGGGGUGAAGUGCCAUUGAUACUGCCUGGCUGGAAUGCGGAUGCCGUGGGAGGAAUGUGUGGUGUAGCGGUGAAAUGCAUAGAUAUCACACAGAACACCGAUUGCGAAGGCAUCUCACGAAUCCGCGAUUGACGCUGAUGCACGAAAGCGUGGGUAUCAAACAGGAUUAGAUACCCUAGUAGUC
RNAcentral lists this ribosomal RNA (460 nucleotides) under uncultured bacterium. RNAcentral describes it as "partial 16S ribosomal RNA". It matches the Rfam family "Bacterial small subunit ribosomal RNA", at positions 338 to 795 of the family's 1533-position model. The record is from RNAcentral.